GACGAACGCUGGCGGCGUGCCUAAUACAUGCCAGUUGAGCGCUGAAGGUUGGUACUUGUACCAACUGGAUGAGCAGCGAACGGGUGAGUAACGCGUGGGGAAUCUGCCUUUGAGCGGGGGACAACAUUUGGAAACGAAUGCUAAUACCGCAUAAAAACUUUAAACACAAGUUUUAAGUUUGAAAGAUGCAAUUGCAUCACUCAAAGAUGAUCCCGCGUUGUAUUAGCUAGUUGGUGAGGUAAAGGCUCACCAAGGCGAUGAUACAUAGCCGACCUGAGAGGGUGAUCGGCCACAUUGGGACUGGGACACGGCCCAAACUCCUACGGGAGGCAGCAGUAGGGAAUCUUCGGCAAUGGACGAAAGUCUGACCGAGCAACGCCGCGGGAGUGAAGAAGGUUUUCGGAUCGUAAAACUCUGUUGGUAGAGAAGAACGUUGGUGAGAGUGGAAAGCUCAUCAAGUGACGGUAACUACCCAGAAAGGGACGGCUAACUACGUG
Molecule: ribosomal RNA, 497 nt
Filed under: uncultured bacterium
Lineage: Bacteria
Description: partial 16S ribosomal RNA
Rfam family: Bacterial small subunit ribosomal RNA
Source: RNAcentral